Long non-coding RNA from Bos taurus (domestic cattle), 1454 nucleotides. Lineage: Eukaryota; Metazoa; Chordata; Mammalia; Artiodactyla; Bovidae. The record is from Ensembl.
CUUAUACAGUUUACAAUGUAAAAAGGCACAGAGAAAGAAACAAAUAUUAAAUAUAAUGUCAGAGAUGGAUAAUUGCUGUGAACAAAAAUUAAAAUUAGGGUAAAUAAUUAGAGUGUGGUGGAGGGGACCAUUUUAAAUAGCCUCAUUAUGGUAGGGUUCUCUGAGGAGAUGACAUUUGGACAGAAAUCUACAGGAAGAGGGACAGACUGCAAGACUCUCUCCAGGUGACACCAAGUUCAGAUGCUGGCGGAAAAGAAUGGUGGGAACGUUCAAGGCUCAGCAAGAAGGAGCCGGGACUGGGAACAACUGGGAGACUCAUCUCUCCUUGUCCUACUCCCAGUGACACCGUCAGUAACUCACUCAGCAAUAACACAGAACCCUAGGAGUUCAUGAGAUUGAGCAAGAAAGAAAGGACCUAAGGACUGGGAGUUAAGAAAUGAAAUGUUAAAAGGAGGUUGAAACAGAUAAAAGCAAGAGAACUGGAACACAGAGAAGAGGGCUGCUUGCCCCCGAGUCAGCCAAGGAUUUACACUGCUAAGAGACCUUGACAUCUGAACACUUCCUUCCUUCCCUGAAGUUUUAGCAACACACCCAGGGGACUGGACAAGAACCACCAAGAAGCAGGAACUACCAUGAAGCAAGAGCUUCAUCCUCUGUGUCUGCAUCAAAUCCCCAGCCCUAGUACUGCCCACCCCCACACUUCUCCCUACUUCAGGCCAAUGACAAGAAGCAGGAAGAACUAAAUUUGUCAGAGAUACUCUCCGUAAGAUCUCAAAGGCCCGCCAUUCCUCUCCUUUUGGCUCCACUUCCGGUCACGUUCCCCUUGAGCAGUCAGUACUCCAAGGAAGGGGAAUAAGAGCCACUCUUCAUAGCUGAGCACCAUCUCCAGAGCUCUAAGACCCCACUUGAAGGUUUUAAAGUCAGUGAAAUUCAUUAUUCUAUGGGAUUCCCUGCCCCUUACAUGCUUUCCUUUGCCCACAAGUAAAACAACCAACAAAAGAUCAAUGAUUAUUCUCAAAACAAAGAGGAAAAUGUAUUUUUCAAAGGAGUUUGAUGGUUGGCUUGAUUUGAGAAAAAAUGUUCCUGAAUUUCAAUUAUCUUGAAAUUCUUAAAUUUAAAUUGAGCAUUAAUGGAUUGGAGGUAGAGAAUAGAUUUAUUUUGUUUAUAUUCUAUAACAAAGCCACUCUACUAAAUUCAAAAUUAAUAUUUUUACCCAAAAAAGGUUCAAACAUUUUUAACAAUAUUUUCCCCUUCAGGUCAAUCUUCUUGUAUAUUCAAGUGCAUCUUGCUAAUCUUGUGUGGGUAAAUGUAUGUUAAUAUUAUCACAGUUAUUUAAGCAUUGCCUUCAAAUAUUUUAAAGCAUUGAUUUCCUUCCUUUAACCAAAUACAUAUUAACAGAGUCAUAAUAAUAAAGCAUGAUUUAUUUAAAAAAUUUUAACAGAAAAGCUACAAGG